CCUACGGGGGGCAGCAGUGGGGAAUCUUGCACAAUGGGGGAAACCCUGAUGCAGCGACGCCGCGUGAACGAUGAAGCCCUUCGGGGUGUAAAGUUCUUUCGACGGGGACGCGGUACCCGGAGAAGAAGCUGCGGCUAACUACGUGCCAGCAGCCGCGGUAAUACGUAGGCAGCAAGCGUUGUUCGGAAUUACUGGGCGUAAAGAGUGCGUAGGCGGUUAACUAAGUUUGGUGUGAAAUCUCCCGGCUUAACUGGGAGGGUGCGCCGAAAACUGGCUAGCUAGAGUGUGGGAGAGGAUAGUGGAAUUCCUGGUGUAGCGGUGAAAUGCGUAGAUAUCAGGAGGAACACCUGCGGUGUAGACGGCUAUCUGGACCAUACUGACGCUGAGGCACGAAAGCGUGGGUAGCAAACAGGAUUAGAUACCCUUGUAGUC
This 432-nucleotide ribosomal RNA is filed under the name uncultured bacterium. RNAcentral describes it as "partial 16S ribosomal RNA". It matches the Rfam family "Bacterial small subunit ribosomal RNA", at positions 338 to 795 of the family's 1533-position model. The record is from RNAcentral.